RNAcentral lists this ribosomal RNA (801 nucleotides) under uncultured bacterium. RNAcentral's name for it is "bacterial SSU rRNA". It matches the Rfam family "Bacterial small subunit ribosomal RNA", at positions 66 to 867 of the family's 1533-position model. The record is from RNAcentral.
ACGGUACUCUUGUAGCAAUAUGAGAGCUAGAGUAGCGUAAGGGUGCGUAACACGUAUGCAAUCUACCCGCAACAGGAGGAUAGCUCUUCGAAAGAGGAAUUAAGACUCCAUAACACCAUUUGAGGGCAUCUGAGGAUGGUUAAACUACAAGGGGUUGCGGAUGAGCAUGCGUCUGAUUAGUUAGUUGGCGGGGUAACGGCCCACCAAGACGAUGAUCAGUAGGGGAACUGAGAGGUUGGUCCCCCACACUGGCACUGAGAUACGGGCCAGACUCCUACGGGAGGCAGCAGUAGGGAAUAUUGGACAAUGGGUGCAAGCCUGAUCCAGCCAUGCCGCGUGCAGGAAGAAAGCCUUCUGGGUUGUAAACUGCUUUUUUCAGGGGAUAAAAUACCGGUGCGCCGGGAAUUGCAAGUACCUGGAGAAUAAGCCACGGCUAACUACGUGCCAGCAGCCGCGGUAAUACGUAGGUGGCAAGCGUUGUCCGGAUUUAUUGGGUUUAAAGGGUGCGUAGGCGGCUAUUUAAGUCAGUGGUGAAAUACGGCAGCUUAACUGUCGAGGUGCCAUUGAUACUGGUUGUCUUGAGUGUAGUUGAAGUGGGCGGAAUGUGUAAUGUAGCGGUGAAAUGCUUAGAUAUUACACAGAACACCGAUUGCGAAGGCAGCUUACUAAACUGUCACUGACGCUGAUGCACGAAAGCGUGGGGAUCGAACAGGAUUAGAUACCCUGGUAGUCCACGCUGUAAACGAUGCUCACUCGCUGUAUGCGAUACACCGUAUGCGGCCAAGCGAAAGCAUUAAGUGA